Long non-coding RNA from Schistocerca piceifrons (Central American locust), 1216 nucleotides. RefSeq lists it as uncharacterized. NCBI's taxonomy places the organism in Eukaryota, Metazoa, Arthropoda, Insecta, Orthoptera, Acrididae. The record is from RefSeq and is a predicted model, not a curated record. The transcript has 2 exons.
AAGGCAGACGCUAAGCCGUCAGUACGUUAUUCUGUGCAGCGAACUAGUACCAUGCGUAUGUCGGUGCGCGUACUGUGCGUCAUUAUGGUGCUCCACGUCAGCGCGGCCAGUACGUCGGACAACCGUACGGCGCCGUCCCACACAGCAAUCGACUUGCCGCCUCCGUCCGGAAAAGCGCCUGGUGCGGCUAUUACACUGCCUCCCAGGUGCCCGGACGACACGACUAACGUCAACGGAAAAUGCGUACGCACCAUUCAUAUACAAGAUAACCGGGAGAACUGAAGAUCAUCAGGCUGGCGGGCUGUAUCCAGCUAGGAAUGAGGAACAUUCGCUCAAGGGUGCGCUUCGUCGCACAAAUUAAAAACAACGCAUGUAUGGACACCAGUACUACACAAAGACGAAUGUAAAAUUUUGUAAUAAAAAUGCAAAUAUUUUCAGCAAUGUAAAAUAAGUUCACACCUUUGUACCCCUAGAAACAGAACAUAAACAACUCUUUCCAAAGAGUUGAAUACUCAUGGACCAUAGAAUGUUUGAUGAAAUGUGUGCUGUUCACUCAUUUACAAAAUAAAAGAAUGAUAUUCCGCCAGCAAAUAUCAGGCUAUUGUUGUCAUUGCAGGUUAUGAGGAGAUACUUUAGGUAUUCAGAAAGAGAAAUGUUAAUAAUCGUUGAGCAUAUACUUACAGAGAACUGCAAGCAGACACUUUUUUAAAUAGUUAUUUAUUCCACAAACCGGUUUUCGAACCUUCCCAGGCUCAUCUUCAGAUGUUACACAGGAGGUUACAUGACUGUUUCUCAGUGUAAUACUGGAAGCUGGCUCUACGACAAGAAUAUGGACUAUGCUUUAACGAAUCACCAUGACUAUUGUUCAUAUGGCGAUUUGGAUCUAAAAAUUAAUUCUGCACUCACUGUGAACAGUGUUAAUAUCCAUCUGUUCGCAGUGAGUGUAGGAUUUUGUGAUGUAUAAUUGCUAAAACAUCACCCAUUUUUUACAAGAUGUGUACACGUAUGUACCAGAGUUACAGACCUUUCCCUGCAUCCAUCAUGUGAUAUACAGCUGAUGUUUGUUGCAAAGACUCCUUCGUACGAAGAUAUGACACUCUUUUCUCAGAGAAAUUACUUGUUUUUGUUUCCUGUAAUAAAGUCGAUGUAUGAGUUAACAUGAAUACCCAUAAAUAAAAUAAGUUAAUAAAAUACUACACGAACAAAUUUCAAAUAA